UACAGAGGCCCCGAGCGUUAAUCGGAAUCACUGGGCUUAAAGGGUGCGUAGGCGGAUCUGAAAGUGUCUUGUGAAAGCCCCCGGCUCAACCGGGGAACUGCGGGGCAUACUACAGAUCUUGAGGCAGGUAGGGGUUGCUGGAACUCUAGGUGGAGCGGUGAAAUGCGUAGAUAUCUAGAGGAACGCCGAUGGUGAAGACGAGCAACUGGACCUGUCCUGACGCUGAGGCACGAAAGCGUGGGGAGCAAACAGG
RNAcentral lists this non-coding RNA (253 nucleotides) under uncultured prokaryote. RNAcentral describes it as "partial 16S ribosomal RNA". It matches the Rfam family "Bacterial small subunit ribosomal RNA", at positions 524 to 776 of the family's 1533-position model. RNAcentral also lists the same sequence under 1 other name. The record is from RNAcentral.